RNAcentral lists this long non-coding RNA (271 nucleotides) under Eucalyptus grandis. RNAcentral describes it as "long non-coding RNA (EGRA_LNC007407)". The record is from RNAcentral. Lineage: Eukaryota; Viridiplantae; Streptophyta; Magnoliopsida; Myrtales; Myrtaceae.
AUCAAAGGCUAACCACCCAUGAUUUAAUAAGAACAUGAAACAUGUUUGGUUAGGGCAAAACAACUAACAUUUGGCGUUCCGCCCAAACAGGACACGCAAUCAUACGAUUAUUCAUUCAACAACCUUCUUACUACCGUAACCCACUAUCCGAUUGAGGAUUCUAAAACGACGAACCAUCGGGAUAUUCAAUUCCAAAUUCGAAAAUUACCUGGAGCACCGAGAUCCGAUUGUGGCACCUGUCGAUUAACCUCCGGCGAGUCCACGAUCCCCU